Molecule: long non-coding RNA, 302 nt
Organism: Zophobas morio
Lineage: Eukaryota; Metazoa; Arthropoda; Insecta; Coleoptera; Tenebrionidae
Exons: 3
Source: RefSeq, a predicted model, not a curated record
UCUUUCGUGCUUAUACGAAAACUGCUGGAAGAAAGUUCAGGAAGAGAAUAGCUCUCACGUGCUUUUGCUGGCCUUCUAUUCUGUUUUUGAAUUAGAACUGGCGUGUGCCAUGUGCCUCGGUGUUUUGUCUUUGCAAAGCGAAGUUUACUGCGCAGUAAAGGAAUAUGUUAUAUCGCGCCUUGAAAAACUGCAACGGGGCUUCAGUGAAAGUACUGAUUUUGAUAUCAACGCGCAGGAAACCUUUUUAUUGAUACUUUUCUUGCUUCAACGCGUUCGCUCUGAAGAGCACAAUUUUAUUACUG